Molecule: ribosomal RNA, 801 nt
Filed under: Triticum aestivum (bread wheat)
Lineage: Eukaryota; Viridiplantae; Streptophyta; Magnoliopsida; Poales; Poaceae
Description: partial small subunit ribosomal RNA
Source: RNAcentral
AUGUCCGCCGCCGGCGUUGGCCGUUUGUCGCGGUCGGCCACCAGCGUCGUCGCCAAAGCGGUGAGCGGGUUCCACCUGCUGCGCAUCGACGGCUACUCGCAGGCCAAGACGGUCCUCCCAGGCGAGAAGAUCUCCUCCGUGGGCUUCACCGUCGGCAGCGGGUCCUGGCGCAUGGACUACUACCCCAACGGCCGCGACGCCGCCCCGAGAUCCAACCACGCCUCUGUCUACAUCCAGCUCACCGACGACUGCACCCGGCGUCCCGUCCAGGCGUGGUACAAGUUCAGCCUGCUGGACCACGCCGGCAACACCGCGUACGAGCUCCCGGUCGAGACCGGCUCGUUCACCGGCAUCCCCAAACCCGAAGUCGACGACCAUUACUACCACCCCUUGUACUCCCACCCCUUGUACUCCCCCCGCCCGCGCAUGCGCGCCUUGAGGAGCCCUGCCGCUGCCGGCGACGAAGAAGGCCCGGGAUGCGGCCACGAGCAGUUCAUCGGGAGGGAAGAGCUGGAGCAUCUGAUCCGCGACGACUUCCUCGUGGUCCGGUGCGACGUCGGCCUUAGGGAGAUGACGUGCUCGCGUCUGGCGGCGGACGAGAUCGACAACUGGGAAGAUGAUGAAGGUGAUGAGGCGGAGGAGGGCUACCUCGGGGCUCCAACUUAUUAUCCUCCUCAUCCCGGUCGGGGUCGACGCCGUCGUCAGCCGGACGACGGUGAGUACGUCAAGUGGUGUUUGGCCCAGCGGCCUGGUGAGCCGCGGAUCCGGCAGGGGCGAAACGUCGGCGGCCAAUAUGCAUGA